GAGUUUGAUCAUGGCUCAGGACGAACGCUGGCGGCGUGCUUAACACAUGCAAGUCGAACGGUCUACCCUGACGGAAACCUUCGGGUUGAAGACAGGACUAGAUAGUGGCGGACGGGUGAGUAACACGUGAAUAAUCUGUCCUCAAGUACAGGAUAACCAGGCGAAAGUCGGGCUAAUCCUGUUUAAGCUGAGAGUGUGGCAUCACACAAUCAGAAAAGGUGGCAUUAGCCAUUGUUUGAGGAGGAGUUCGCGGUAGAUUAGCUAGCUGGUGAGGUAAUGGCUCACCAGGGCAACAAUCUAUAGCUGGUCUGAGAGGACGAUCAGUCACACUGGAACUGAGACACGGUCCAGACUCCUACGGGAGGCAGCAGUGGGGAAUCUUCCACAAUGGGCGCAAGCCUGAUGGAGCAACGCCGCGUGAGUGAAGAAGGUCUUCGGAUUGUAAAGCUCUGUCCUUAGGGAAGAACCGUGGGUAUAGUAAAUGCUACCCACCUGACGGUACCUUUGGAGGAAGCACUGGCUAACUACGUGCCAGCAGCCGCGGUAA
This 547-nucleotide ribosomal RNA is filed under the name uncultured Bacillota bacterium. RNAcentral describes it as "bacterial SSU rRNA". It matches the Rfam family "Bacterial small subunit ribosomal RNA", at positions 9 to 523 of the family's 1533-position model. The record is from RNAcentral. Lineage: Bacteria; Bacillati; Bacillota.